ACUUAACUUGAUUUUCUUCGGAACUGAUUGUUUUGUGACUGAGUGGCGGACGGGUGAGUAACGCGUGGGUAACCUGCCUCACACAGGGGGACAACAGCUGGAAACGGCUGCUAAUACCGCAUAAGCGCACAGCUUCGCAUGAAGCAGUGUGAAAAACUCCGGUGGUGUGAGAUGGACCCGCGUCUGAUUAGGUAGUUGGUGAGGUAACGGCCCACCAAGCCGACGAUCAGUAGCCGACCUGAGAGGGUGACCGGCCACAUUGGGACUGAGACACGGCCCAAACUCCUACGGGAGGCAGCAGUGGGGAAUAUUGCACAAUGGGCGAAAGCCUGAUGCAGCGACGCCGCGUGAGCGAAGAAGUAUUUCGGUAUGUAAAGCUCUAUCAGCAGGGAAGAGAAUGGCGGUACCUGACUAAGAAGCUCCGGCUAAAUACGUGCCAGCAGCCGCGGUAAUACGUAUGGAGCAAGCGUUAUCCGGAUUUACUGGGUGUAAAGGGAGCGUAGGCGGCAGGGCAAGUCUGAUGUGAAAACCCAGGGCUCAACCUUGGGACUGCAUUGGAAACUGUUCGGCUGGAGUGUCGGAGAGGCAAGCGGAAUUCCUAGUGUAGCGGUGAAAUGCGUAGAUAUUAGGAGGAACACCAGUGGCGAAGGCGGCUUGCUGGACGAUGACUGACGCUGAGGCUCGAAAGCGUGGGGAGCAAACAGGAUUAGAUACCCUGGUAGUCCACGCCGUAAACGAUGA
Molecule: ribosomal RNA, 741 nt
Filed under: uncultured bacterium
Lineage: Bacteria
Description: bacterial SSU rRNA
Rfam family: Bacterial small subunit ribosomal RNA
Source: RNAcentral